RNAcentral lists this unclassified non-coding RNA (211 nucleotides) under soil metagenome. Its description in RNAcentral is "partial contains 5.8S ribosomal RNA, internal transcribed spacer 2, and large subunit ribosomal RNA". The record is from RNAcentral.
AACCUAGCACACCUGCGGUGUGUACCUGCGGAGGGAUCAUUACCGAGUGUGGUCCCAUAUAAGGGGCGCCUCCCGUCCUUUGCAGGGCCUUUAGGGGCUUUUUGACUUUGCUUCGGCGGGCUUGCCCCGCCGGAACACCCUCAAGAAAAUCUUUAUGAACCGUUUGUCUGAGUUGCUUGCGAAUAAAAACAAAACUUUCAACAAUGGAUCU